RNAcentral lists this transfer-messenger RNA (360 nucleotides) under Pseudomonadota bacterium. RNAcentral describes it as "Proteobacteria bacterium (cold seep metagenome) transfer-messenger RNA". It matches the Rfam family "transfer-messenger RNA". Rfam says of the family: Bacterial tmRNA, also known as 10Sa RNA or SsrA, is named for its dual tRNA and mRNA-like properties. Its role is to liberate the mRNA from a stalled ribosome. To accomplish this part of the tmRNA is used as a reading frame that ends in a translation stop signal. The record is from RNAcentral. Lineage: Bacteria; Pseudomonadati; Pseudomonadota.
GGGGAUGAAAUGGCUUCGACAGAGAUCGGAAACCUGAAGUUCAUGCCGAGCAAAUUCUAGUCCGCUCGUAAAAAAGUCUGGAAACUUAAAGUAAUUGCAAACGAUGAUAAUUACGCUCUAGCUGCUUAAACCCGGCUAGCUUUUGACUACCUUUAUCUGUGGGGGUUACUCAGAAGUCACUUAACACAGCUUUCGCCAGCCAUUCAGUCCGAGUUUAGCUGGUUAAAACGAAACGGACUCGUGAGCUUUUGUCCUGGCUACCCGCCAACUGCUCAUUAAAACUACCGGUAGUACUAAGCAUGUAACAGACCGAUGGCAGAAAGUUUUUGGACGCGGGUUCGACUCCCGCCAUCUCCACCA